CCCAAGUCUCACAACCUACAGUACUUAAUAGAUUACAUAAUAAUAUCGAAUAAAGACUUAUUACAUAAUCCUACUUAAGUUUAGCAUAGUCUGAAAACAGUCUUAAUACAACAUAAUACUCUUAAACAUAAAAGGGACAAGCUAGUCGGUAGCCUUGCCCUUGCCCUUGUCUUGCCCAAAGACACUUCCCUGUUCCGCCUUAACUGAAAGGUUUUAAAUAAGCAAGGAUGAACACAAAUUGCCCAGCAAGUAAUAUACAACAAGGGUAAAGAGUUUCAUAACACAAGUUUGAAAUAUCGAAGUGUCAUCUCUAAGAUAGUUUAGAGUUUCAGAAUAAUAUCAUGAAUAAUGAGUAUCAAUAAUUCUUGGAAUAAGAACGGUAAUUCAAUAUAAACCAACAGAUAUAUAUAUGAAUUCAACGACUAUCAACGUAUCCAACUAGAUAAAUAAUUUAUACUGAGUAGUCACUAAGGACUAUUGAACAUCUACUAGAAUUACCAAUAUUAAAUUGAUAACCCAAAAGAAUCAAAUACUAAUCUCUGGCGCAGCUGCGCCAGUUUGUACUGCUGGGACGGCGCAGCUACGUUGUACCCUGACUGUGCCAAGACUGGUUUAGCUUCAAGCCAGUGUCAACUUUCAUUGCCAAAUUCAUGACAUGUAUUACUGCCCACAUGAGUGAUAUUGCUAAUCUAAGAGUGUGUUCAUUACUUAUAUGAAAUCACAUGCUCAACCACGAUUAAUCUUCCUAAUUCCCUUGUAAACUCGCUUCGUGAAUUUCCUCGUUUCACAUUAUGCCACACAAGGCAUUUCAAAAUUCUUAUUGUCAAUUCACACUUCUCAAUACGUAUUAAUCUAAUGCGAAUCAAUUGAAUUAUUCCACUUUCUAAACAUCAUUACUUAUAUUCACAUAAAUAUUAUUUCCAUUAAUAUACUUUAAGUAAUCAACCUAUCGCGCGUAUCAAUCUUGUUUAGCGACUAUUUGCUCUACUAGAUUGGAUUAUUUUAUCCAAUCGACAUUUUCCACUUUUAUGGGGUUGUUCACCUCAGACUUAUCAUAAGAUUCCGCACCAAAAUAAUUUGUAUUGACAUAAAUUCUCAAAGAAUACUUUGAAUUUUAUAAACAUUUGUUUAGCUAAAUCAAAUAGCUUAGACGUAUACUAAUAAUUCGAAUAUCAAUCAAAACAUGUGUCUGGCCAAAUUUAAUUAUCUUUAAAAUUCUAAAGAUUAUUUUUUUACGUCAUGAUACCGCACUGUAUUUACAUCCUGUUUGAUGAUUCUGUCAUUUUGUGACUUUGUCAUACUAGAACAUACAGUAAUGGGCUGACGAUCCUUAGAUCCCAUCCAACACUAGGUAAUUAUAUAUUGAUAACUCCAUCAUUUUUAUCAUCACUGCACCAGGUUCAAUAAUGCAUUAAUGAUAUAUAAAAUAUAUUUUGAUAUAUUUCAAAUUAUUUUUGUCUAGCCGAAACAAUUAGCUUAGACACGUGAAUAAUAAAACUUUUUAAAACUCAUUGGUUCAGUAAUCUGACCCAAUAUUUUUUUUCAAAAAUGCUUUUAUAAGCACGAUGUCAAUAAAUUUCGAAGUCUAGCAUAGCUAGAAGAUUUGGAAUACCUAUGCUUCUUCCAUCAAUCUCCAAUUUUCUCCCAUAUUUCAUUGCUUAAUAAUUCUAACUCUUUCUAUCAUUCUUAAAGCUUACUACACCGAAAAUCCUCAAUUCUCCAUUCAUAACUUUUCUAGCUAUACCCCAGUAUAGUUCAUUAAACUUACAACACGUUAUAAGUUCAUGAACUUUUCACAAUAAUAUUAGUUUAGGAACUUAUCCUAGCAAUACGUAGUCCAAGAAUUAAUCAGGGACUUUCCAUACGCUUAGGGGUUCAAAAACAUAUCAUAUGAUUAUGAGUCACAAAUAUACCAUAAGUAUGACUUUUAAGAACUCGCACCUAACCUUAUAUCUCUACCUAUCCGUUAUACACAUAACAAAAGAAUCACCUUCUCAACAUGAAUAUAGCAAAUCGCGUGACACCAGGUUCCAAUGAUUAUCAAUGUAAAAAGCUAAGUGGUUGUCGAACCAAACACAAUCCAGUGCCCAUACAAGGAAUUGGUCAACUCUGCCACUAAUCAAUAUAGGAAGCUAAGCGGUUAUUAAACCAAGGAUAAAUUCCCCGCCCAUACAAGGAAUUGUUAAACUUAACCACUAUAUCAAUAUAGGAAGCUAAGUGGUUCUCAAACCAAGUACAAAUUCCCCACCCAUACAAGGAAUCAUAAAACUUAGCUUCUAACAUGAGUCCUCAAUUAAAAUCCCAAAUAAUCCUAAUCUUACUCUUUACUUAAUACGAAUUUUAUUUAAUCUAUAUCUUUAACAUUUAUUACUCUUUUCUGAGUUUACAUAGUACAAUUACAUAGUACAUUUUUUAUAGCAUCAUGCUAUAUCUUCUUAAUUGUCCAACAGAUCACCUGUCAUUCAUGAUUCAGUUUGAUCACGUUGUGAUCUUAUCUUAUAAUCAUGUUAUAUUAGGAUUCUUUCAUAUCUUAGGAUCGUUUUGUUUUACGAUCUUCUUAUCUCUUCUUUUUAAUCAUAUCUUAUUAUGAUUUUAUUUAAGCUUUUCAUCUUUAUUACUGGAGGCAGGUAACUCCAGAUUCUUAUCUUCUAUAACUCUUCGAGAUUCUUCUUUGAAUCUUAUUUACUUAAUAAUGAAUUUCCCAAAUUCAACUCUAAGAACUUAAACUCUAUUUGAGUUUAUUCCUUAUCCUUAUCCCUGUGGUUAUGCCCUAAGGUACCCCUACCUAAGGUUUAUAACCUAUCAACUUUGAUACCAAAUGUAAUGCCCCCAAAUCCGGAUACCUUGAACCUGGUGCGUCAUGAUACAACAUAUUUAUACUAAUUCUAUAAACUAAUGCGGAAUAUAUAAACAUACUUUGUUUAUUUCAAAGUUUUCUACAACAUUACCCCAAGGUCUACAACCUUAACUUAGUACAUACCUUCAAUAAAUUGAAAGGUUUACAAUGUCAUUUGCAUCAAAUAACAUAAUAGUUCAAAUGCAUGAUAAUCUACUCUUGGAAAUUGCCUUUGCCAUUGUCAUUCUUCGAGCCUUCGUCUUAAUCUAAAAUUGAUUAUCAUAAUAUAGCAAGGGUGAGCAACUACUUUGCUCAACAAGUUUAAAUACAAUAAAAAUAUAUCAAAUUGAAAGAAAGAAUAAGCUUUCGAAUGUUCAAAAAUAUAAUAAUUAUGAAAUAGCAUAAAUCAAAAUUUCAAUAAUUGAAUGACUGAACCAAUAAUGUUGAGUGGUCAACAAUGACCAUGAACAAUUUAACUAAACCUUAUGGUAAUGAAGAUGAUCAGCCUUUCAUACCAGAUGAACAUAUGCAAUAUGCACUAAGUGCGAAUCAAUAAUCAUAGAUGUGGAAUAAUCAAUAAUAAUUAUCCACUAACAUGCUUUGAAAUAAUAACUCGAGUUUGAGUUAAAGAACUUGCAUGUACCGUCGAUUACUACUACGCAGUCUAAUUUAAUCUCUUUAUUGUAAAGACCUAUCAUUUUUAAGAUUGAUCUUUCAAUCAACAUAUCAUAUUAUACCUCAUAAUACUACUACUCUAUAAGUAAAUUAUCUAACAUUUAACCACAUAAUCAAAUAUUUGGUACUACAUUAAAACAUCAGUUAAUUUUUCCAUGUUUAGUCUCAUUUUUUUGCCGGCAGGACUGUUCCGACCAAAACAGCCACUACGGCUUAAAAAGUCAACAUUUUUUUAGUGCUACCACUUGAGUUUUCUAGUUAAUUUAUAUAUCUAGCACUCCUCUUUUACGGAUCACAAAAAGAAGUUAUAGAUCUAAAAUGGUAAUUGAUCAUAGUGAACAAAAGUUAGGGUUUUCUACCCUUUAGAAACUAGUUUAUAUUUCUCUCAUUUUGAUCCAACUUUUGACACACAAAAUGGUUAGUUAUACCCAUAACAUACUCUAAAUCAUGUAGAUCUAGAUUUUUGAAGUUUAAGAACAUCAAUCCAAGUUUUGAUUUAAACAACUAAAAAUAACUUUGAUAAAAGGUGUUUAUAUCUUUGAUUUGUGACUAUUCUUCCUUGAUAUAUCAAAGUAGGUGAUGAUUUUGGGUAGAAGGAAGAUGAAAGCCUCUUUCCCUUGCUCCCUUACUCCAUCCGAAUCCUUCUCUUGUCUCUCUCUUUCUUUCUUUCUUAGUUUAGCUUGAGAGAAAUAGAUGAAAGAGAAAGUAAAUGGAUUUUUAUGUAAUUAAGAGAUAUACUUUUUAUAUCUAUCAUACAUCCCCCAUCAACUCUCUUAUCUCUCCCUCCAGUCAUGUUGUGGUUACUUGAAAGCUAAAGAUUAAUUGUAGCUUUGGUGAAAAUAAGUGGCUUGACUUAAGGGUUGACACCUUGCAUAGUUGGUGAGGAUUUGGUAAACUAAAUAAUUACAUCAUAUGGCACCUCCUUCUUUCAUUUGGGUUCACCCACCUCCUCUUCUUCUAGCCCAUUGCUUAUUUAUUUUUAAUGCUUUAUUUACUUAAUUGCAUGUCCAAAAUGUCCCUCUUCAAUUGGGCUAAAAGAUUGGGUUUUAAUUUUAAAAGUCCGGGCUUUGCAAUUAAAAUAUUUGGACUUCCUAACUAAAAUUUUUGAGCCAUAAGAAUUAAUAUGGUCCAUUAUCUUAAAUUCUAUCCUACCCUAAUCAUUUAAUUAGGGUUUCCAUUUACUAAAUUAUAAUUUAAAUUCUUACUCAUUUACACUUAAUUUCUUAACCAAAUUAGACUUGCUUUAAUUAGAUUAUAAAAUUAAUUAAUUGAGAUAUAUAAAAUAAAUAUCUUAGGAUUAGUAUAUAUUAUAAAUACUAUUAUUCUCUCAUACCAUAACCUUUAAGUUAUUCAAUUCUCAUACCUAAAAUUUAAUAAGGUUAAAUUAGUUUCUUUUAUUUGUUUAUAUAAUAAACAAAUAUAAACAAUCACAUAAUAUUUAUAUUCAUUUACUCACAUAUUCAUACAAAAUAAUUUAAUAGGUCGAGACGUGUUUCACAAAUCUCUUAGAUUAGGUCACUAGUAUAUAAUUAAAAUACUAAGACCGCUAAAUAAAAAUAACCAUUUCGGUUAUUUAAUCCCAAAAUCUAAUUUAUAACGUUAGGCUACAAAGUUUUCUUUAAUUCUCUUUAUAUAAAGAAUAACUAUAUAUACAUAUUUACAAUAUAUGUAUUUACUUAAUCUCACACAUGUCCCACAUAAGUCAUAAUGUAUUUAUCCUUAUCAUUUCUCAUUUAAUUUCUUUACCUUGCUUAAGGAUUCAAAUCAAACUAUAUAAGUUCUUUAAAAAUUUUAAUUCAUCCUCUAAGUCCCAUCUAGGUUUUAUUCUUUAACAUUUAUUUUACUCAUUCAAGAUCUUAUGAAUUUUUUGGGUUGUCACAAUUCUCAAAGAAGUACUUGAAUUUUCAUAAACAUUUAUCUAAGUGAAUCAAAUAGCUUAGACUUGUACCGAUAAUUCGAACAUUAAUCAAAACAUUUGACUAGCCACUUUAAUUGGCGUUGACUUUUCUUUAAUUGGUUCAAAAUUUUGAAAAUCCUUUUAUGACUUCAUGAUACCGCACUAUAUUUAUAGUCCGUUUGAGGAUUCCGUCAUUUUGUGACUUUGUCAUACUACAUCAUACUAUAGUGGUUUGAAGAUCCUUAGAUCACAUCUAACACUAGGUAAUUCUGCAUUGAUAACUCCAUCAUUUUUAUCAUCUCUGCACCAUGUUCAAUGAUGCAUUAAUGAUAUAUAAAAUACAUUUUGAUAUUUUAAAUUAUUUUUGUCUAGCUGAAACAAUUAGCAUAGACGUAUAAAUAAUAGAACUUUUAAAACUCAUUGGUUUAGUAAUCUGACCCAAUAUUUUUUUUUCAAAAAUGCUUUUAUUAGCACGAUGUCAAUAAAUUCAAAAUCUAGCAGGAAUACAUAUGCUUCCUUUAUUAACUCCAAUUUUUUUUUCUCCAAUAGUUCUUUACUUAAUAAUUCUAUCUAUUUCUAUCCUUAAAACUUACCACUAAAAAUCCUCAAUUCUUCAUCCACCACUUUUCUAUACCCUGCUGUAGUUCAUCAAACAUAGCACACGUUAUGAGUUCAAGAACUUACCACAAUAAUAUGAGUUUAGGAAUUUGUCCUAACAAUACGUAGUUCAAGAACCAAUCAGUAACUGUCCAUACGCUUAGGGGUUCAAAAAUAUACCAUACGAUUAUGAGUCACAAACUUACCAUAAGUAUGAGUUUUAAGAACUCGCACCUAACCUUAUAUUCUCUACCUAUCUGUUAUACACAUGAGAAAAGAAUUACAUUCUCAACAUGCAUGUAGCGAAUAGCGCGACACCCGGUUCCAAUGAUUAUCAAUGUGAUAAACUGAGUAGAAGUUAGACCAAGCACAAACCCCUACCUAUACAAAGGUUUAUACAACUCAGCUAUCACAUGAAUCCUCAAUUGAAAUCAGACACCAUUCUAACUUUCUCUUUACUCGAUACGAAUUUCAUUUAAUUCGUAUCUCACCAUCUAAAACUCUUUCCUGAGUUUACAUAGUUCAAUUUCAUAGUACAACUUUCGUACAACAAUUCUACUAUAACAUUUUCAAUCAAUCGAGUGAUCCUCUAUCCUCUUCUAACCUCACCAGAUCACGUUGUGACCUUUUCUUAUAAUUGUGUUAUAUUACAAUUUUUUUUAUCUUCUGAUCGUUUUGUUUUACUAUCUUCUUAUCUUUAAUCAUAUUAUAUUAUCAUUUUCUUUAUGUUUUUAGUCUUAUAUAUAGACUCUAUCUAUUCAUUAUUAAUUUUCAUCUUCAUUUUCAGAGUUGGGUAACUCUGGAUUCUUAUCUUUAUAACUUUUCAAGAUUCUUCUUUGAAUCUUAUUUAUCUUCUCCUUUACUUAAUAAUGAAUUUCCCAAAUUCAUCUCUUAAUAAUUUAAACUCUAUUUGAGUUUAUUCCGUAUCCUCAUCUCUGUGGUUAUAGCCUAAGGUACCCCUACCUAAGGUUUAUAACCUACAACUUUGAUACCAACCUGUAGCUCCCCCAAAUCCGAGCCCAUUUUAACUCGAACCUGGUGCGUCACGAAACAACAUCUUUAUACACAUUCUAUAAACUAAUGCGGAAUAUAUAAACAUACAUUGUUUAUUUCAAAUGAUUCUAAAACAUUUUCCAAGGUCUAUAACCUUAACUUGAUACAUUCCUUUAAUAUCAAAAAAAAAAUUACAUUAAUAACUUACACUAGAUAACUAAUUAGUUAACAUGCAUACCAAUCUAAUCUUGUACUUUACUUUUGUCUCUGUCCUUUCUCGAACAUUCGUCUCAAUCUAAAAUUUUUUAUCAUGAUAUAACAAGGGUGAGCAACUACUUUGCUCAACAAGUUUAAAUACAAGAAUGAUAUAUCAUGAUUGAAAAUGAAUAAUAACCUUUCAAAAUUUUCAACAAUAUAAUAAUUAUGAAAGAGCUUGAAUUAGAACUUCAAUAAUUGAAUGACUGAACCAAUAAUGUUAAGUGGUCAACAAUGACCAUUAACAAAUUUAACAGAACCUUAUGGUAAUCAAGGUGAUCAGCCUUUCAUACCUGAUGAACACAUGCAACAUGUACUAAAUGCGAGUCAAUAAUUAUAGAUGUGGAAUAAUCAACAAUAAUUAUCCACUAACAUACUUCGAAAUAAUAACUCGAGUUUGAGUUAGGGAACUUUCAUGUACCGUCGAUUAAUGUUACGCAAUCUAAUUUAAUCUCUUUAUUGUAAAGACCUAUCAUUGUUAAGAUUGAUCUUUCAAUCAACAUAUAAUAGUAUAUCUCAUAAUACAACUACUUUACAAGUAAAUUAUCUAACACUUAACCACAAAAUCAAAUAUUAGAUAAUACCUUAAAACUUCAGUGUUAUUAGUGUCCUUUGAUAAUUUUUCAAUUACUUUAUCAUUAUGAUUUAACACUUAACCUUUCAUUUUAUAAGUUCUUCUAUAUAAUCUAGCAAGCCGAAUACCUAUUCCAGCAACCUAGAUUAUUCAAACAACUUGUUUCCCCAACAAAGCAAAACUGACAUAACUAAUCCAACAAACUGGACUUAAACUGAAUUUCAAUUUAGUAAAAUGUUUUCCAAUCUAGCAAACUGGAUUCAACUGACCUCCAAUCCAACAAGCAUGGAUUCAAACUGACCUCCAAUCCAGCAAGCAUGGAUUCAAACUGUCCUACAAUCCAGCAACCUGAAUUCACUAAUCCUCCAAUCCAUUAUACUAUAUAUUAAAUAUAGCAUAUUGAAUGUCAAAUAAAUAACUUAACUCCUCUUUUAAACUCUCAUUUAAUAUUAUUAAUUAUUUAAUAAUAUUUAAAUCAUUUACUAAUAUUAUUAAUCAUUAAAAUAAUAUUUUAAACCAAUGAUUUAAUAACAUUUUAAUCUAAAUGUUAUCAAUCACUUAAUAAUAUCUUAAUAUAAUAUUAUUAAUCUUUUAAUAAUAUUUUAAUAAUUUAUUAAACUUAUAAACAAUUUAUUUUAAUUGAUUAAUAUUUAGUAAUUCAUUUAUUUAAUGAACCUAAAAUGCCAUAAACAUAAUAUGACAUCAACAUUAAACAAAUUACCCUUCAAAAAUCUACAUAUACCCUAGUUAGGGUUUUCAAGCCAUAAAGUCAUAUUUUUCUAAUUUUCAACAUCACAUAACAUAUUUUAUUUAUUUAUUCAUAACUAAAUCAUUUCCAUGAAAAAUACCAAAGCAGUUCUAAAACUUUUUCUUUUCUAGGAUUUGACAAAAUAUGUCUCCCUUAUGAACAUAUAUUUUUUCUGAAAUUUUUGAAAUUCAUUUACUAUUUUUAAAUAGUCCAAAACAACCAAAUCUUGCUACAUUUAUCAUAAAUCGAAACUUUGUUCAAAAAUUCUAAAAUUUAUAGGGUAUGUUCUUGACAUAUAUAUAUAUAUAUAUAUAUAUAUAUAUAUAUAUAUAUAUAUAUAUAUAUAUAUAUAUAUAUAUAUAUAUAUAUACCUCCCGUAAAUAUUUCAUAAUUUUUGGAGUUUUCCACAAAGAGUUAUUCAAGUUUACUUUUAAAAUAGUCAUUUCCCAUAAAAUUCAUAACUCUCAUUCUAUACAUCCAAAAACUCUCAUCUUUGGACAUGAUGCAGUUAACUUUUCAUAUUAACUCCCCAAAUUUCUUAGACUUUUUAAAGUACAAAAAAGUAACGAAAAUGCCCCUGGACCAAACUGGCUAGGGGACUUUUCCCAUGUUUAGUUUCCUUCUUUUGCCAGCAGGAUUGUUCCGACCAAAAUAGCUACUACGACUUGGAAAAUCAACACUUUUGAGUGCUACCUCUUAGAUUUGCUAGUUAACUUACAUAUCUAGUACUCUUAUUUGACGGAUCGCAAAAAAGAAGUGUAGAUCUAAAACGGUAGACAUUUAAAUUACAUAAAAGUUAGGGUUUUCUAACUUUUGUAAACCUAGUUUCCUUUUCUUUCUUUAGAUCUAACUUUUGACACUCAAAAGGGUUAGAUCUAAAAAUAAUACACUUAUUAACACGUAGAUAUAAGAUUUUGAAGUUUAAAAACAUUAGAUCCUAAUUCCAUCAAAAUCAACAAAACAAAAAUAAUAAACUAGUUUACAUAUAGGUUUUUAUACCUUUGUAUGUAUGAUCUUCUUCUUCCUUCCAAGGUUGGUUAUGAAGUGAAGUUUGAAAGCACAAAAAUCACUCCUCUCUUCUCGUAAGGCUACCGAAAUUUAUCUCUCUCUUUCAUUGAUUUAUUUUGAUAGUUUAAGAAUGUGAGCUGAAAGAUGAAAGAUUAGAUUUUUGUUGGAAAAGAAAUGUACAGAUGUAUGAUGUAUAUCAAAAUGCAUCCCCCACACUCUUGCUCUUUUUCUCUCUUUAAUCAUUAAAUUGUUA
This 9836-nucleotide long non-coding RNA is filed under the name Panax ginseng (ginseng). Its description in RNAcentral is "long non-coding RNA (PGIN_LNC003731)". The record is from RNAcentral. Lineage: Eukaryota; Viridiplantae; Streptophyta; Magnoliopsida; Apiales; Araliaceae.